GGUCAAGCUACAAAGGGCGCAUGGUGAAUCUCCGAAUGAGGAAACUCACAUGGGAAACCCCAUGUAUCAUUAAGUGAAUACAUAGCUUAAUGAAGGUAACCCAGGGAACUGAAACAUCUAAGUACCUGGAGGAAGAGAAAGAAAAAUCGAUUUUCUUAGUAGCGGCGAGCGAAAGGGAAAGAGCCCAAACCGGAAACUUGUUUCCGGGGUUGUGGACAUAACAUAAAAGUGGAGGCUAUUGUAACUGAAGAGAACUGGAAAGUUCCACCGUAGAAGGUAAUAGUCCUGUAAGUGAAACGAGAAGACCACGAGUUAUGAUCCAGAGUACCACGAGACACGUGAAACCUUGUGGGAAGCAGGGAGGACCACCUCCCAAGGCUAAAUACUACCUGAUGACCGAUAGUGAAGCAGUACCGUGAGGGAAAGGUGAAAAGAACCCCGGGAGGGGAGUGAAAUAGAACCUGAAACCGUGUGCCUACAACCGCUCAGAGCCCCUUAUGAGGGUGAUGAGGUGCUUUUUGUAGAACGAGCCAACGAGUUACGGUAUGUAGCAAGGUUAAGUACUUAAGGUACGGAGCCGAAGGGAAACCGAGUCUGAAUAGGGCGACUAGUUGCAUGCCGUAGACCCGAAACCGGGUGACCUAUCCAUGGCCAGGUUGAAGCGAGGGUAAAACCUCGUGGAGGACCGAACCACGUUGCUGUUGAAAAAGCAUGGGAUGAGCUGUGGAUAGCGGAGAAAUUCCAAUCGAACCCGGAGAUAGCUGGUUCUCUCCGAAAUAGCUUUAGGGCUAGCGUCGAGUAUGAGUAGUGGAGGUAGAGCACUGAAUGGGCUAGGGGGCAUAGCGCUUACCGAACCUUAUCAAACUCCGAAUGCCACAUACUUUGAGCUCGGCAGUCAGACUACGAAUGAUAAGAUCCGUGGUCAAAAGGGAAACAGCCCAGAUCGUCAGCUAAGGUCCCAAAGUGUAAGUUAAGUGGGAAAGGAUGUGAGAUUUCUAAGACAACUAGGAUGUUGGCUUAGAAGCAGCCAUUCAUUAAAAGAGUGCGUAAUAGCUCACUAGUCGAGAGAUCUUGCGCCGAAAAUGUAACGGGGCUAAACUUACCACCGAAGCUACGGGCUUGAACUUAGUUCAAGCGGUAGGAGAGCGUCGUAACCGGGCUGAAGUCGUACCGUAAGGAGCGGUGGACUGGUUACGAGUGAGAAUGUUGGCAUCAGUAGCGAGAUGUGGGUGAGAAUCCCACAGGCCGAAAACCUAAGGUUUCCUCAGGAAGGUUCGUCCGCUGAGGGUUAGUCGGGACCUAAGCCGAGGCCGAAAGGCGUAGGUGAUGGACAACUGGUUGAUAUUCCAGUACCACUACCAUCGUUAUUAUCGAUGGCGUGACGCAGGAGGAUAGUGUGUGCUAGCUAUUGGAUGCUAGUCUAAGCGUUUAGGCAGUGAGAGUAGGCAAAUCCGCUCUCAUAAUGCUGAGGCGUGAUGGGGAAGGUUCCACGGAACCGAAGUACAUGAUUCCACGCUGCCAAGAAAAGCGUCUAGAGAGAGAAGUAGUGCCCGUACCGCAAACCGACACAGGUAGGUGAGGAGAGAAUCCUAAGGCCGGCGGAAGAAUUACAGUUAAGGAACUCGGCAAAUUGACCCCGUAAGUUCGCGAGAAGGGGUGCCUACGAGAGUAGGCCGCAGAGAAUAGGCCCAAGCAACUGUUUAGCAAAAACACAGGUCUCUGCUAAAGCGUAAGCUGAUGUAUAGGGGCUGACGCCUGCCCGGUGCUGGAAGGUUAAGGGGAACACUUAGCGCAAGCGAAGGUGUGAACUUAAGCCCCAGUAAACGGCGGCCGUAACUAUAACGGUCCUAAGGUAGCGAAAUUCCUUGUCAGGUAAGUUCUGACCCGCACGAAUGGCGUAAUGACUUGGGCACUGUCUCAACUGUAAAUCCGGCGAAGUUGUAGUGCGAGUGAAGAUGCUCGCUACCCGCGAUUGGACGGAAAGACCCCGUAGAGCUUUACUGUAGCUUAGCAUUGAGUUUUGGUAUUGUCUGUACAGGAUAGGUGGGAGACUAGGAAACCAGGGCGUCAGCCUUGGUGGAGUCAACCUUGGGAUACCACCCUGACAGUACUGAAAUUCUAACUGGCGGCCAUGAAUCUGGUCACAGGACAUUGUUAGGUGGGCAGUUUGACUGGGGCGGUCGCCUCCUAAAAAGUAACGGAGGCGCCCAAAGGUUCCCUCAGAACGGUCGGAAAUCGUUCGAAGAGUGCAAAGGCAGAAGGGAGCCUGACUGCGACACCCACAAGUGGAGCAGGGACGAAAGUCGGGCUUAGUGAUCCGGUGGUACCUCGUGGGAGGGCCAUCGCUCAACGGAUAAAAGCUACCUCGGGGAUAACAGGCUGAUCUCCCCCAAGAGUCCACAUCGACGGGGAGGUUUGGCACCUCGAUGUCGGCUCGUCGCAUCCUGGGGCUGAAGUAGGUCCCAAGGGUUGGGCUGUUCGCCCAUUAAAGCGGCACGCGAGCUGGGUUCAGAACGUCGUGAGACAGUUCGGUCCCUAUCCGUCGCGGGCGUAGGAAAUUUGAGAGGAGCUGUCCUUAGUACGAGAGGACCGGGAUGGACUGACCUCUGGUGUACCAGUUGUUCCGCCAGGAGCACAGCUGGGUAGCUAAGUCGGGAAUGGAUAAACGCUGAAAGCAUCUAAGCGUGAAGCCAACCUCAAGAUGAGAUUUCCCAUAGCGUAAGCUAGUAAGAUCCCUUGAAGAACACAAGGUUGAUAGGUCGGGGGUGUAAGCAUGGUAACAUGUUCAGCUGACCGAUACUAAUAGAUCGAGGGCUUGACCAA
This 2823-nucleotide ribosomal RNA is filed under the name Klebsiella sp. RNAcentral's name for it is "23S ribosomal RNA". It matches the Rfam family "Bacterial large subunit ribosomal RNA". The record is from RNAcentral. Lineage: Bacteria; Pseudomonadati; Pseudomonadota; Gammaproteobacteria; Enterobacterales; Enterobacteriaceae.